UAACGCGUGAGUAACCUGCCUUGGAGUGGGGAAUAACAGCUGGAAACAGCUGCUAAUACCACAUAAUGCAGUUGGGUCGCAUGGCUCUGACUGCCAAAGAUUUAUCGCUCUGAGAUGGACUCGCGUCUGAUUAGCUAGUUGGCGGGGUAACGGCCCACCAAGGCGACGAUUAGUAGCCGGACUGAGAGGUUGGCCGGCCACAUUGGGACUGAGACACGGCCCAGACUCCUACGGGAGGCAGCAG
This 244-nucleotide ribosomal RNA is filed under the name uncultured bacterium. RNAcentral's name for it is "partial 16S ribosomal RNA". It matches the Rfam family "Bacterial small subunit ribosomal RNA", at positions 111 to 354 of the family's 1533-position model. The record is from RNAcentral.